GUGGGAGGGGGCUUGCUCCCGAUGGCGGUGGGUCAGUCAAAAUACCUGUGACUGGCAUGCCGCCAUCGGGAGCAAGCCCCCUCCCAC
RNAcentral lists this unclassified non-coding RNA (87 nucleotides) under Pseudomonas poae. Lineage: Bacteria; Pseudomonadati; Pseudomonadota; Gammaproteobacteria; Pseudomonadales; Pseudomonadaceae. The record is from RNAcentral.